UCUGUCCCUUCUGCCAUGUGAGGACACACAGAAGUCACCAUCUAUAAGAAACAGGCUCCCACCAGACACUGAGUCUGCUGGAGCCUUGAUCUUGAAUUUCCCAACCUCCAGAACUGUGGCCACCAGACUUUCUCUGCUUGUAUCCUCCCAGGACCACAGAACUCAUCGCAUCCCAAGGCAGCCUAUUCCAUCAUGGAUGAGCUCAAAGUGUUUGAAAGUUCUGCUUUAUCAAAGACAAGGUCUCACUAUGUUGCCCUGGCUGGUCUGUAACUCCUGGCCUCAAGCAGUCCUCUUAUCUCAGCUUUCCAAAGUGCUGGGAUUACAGAACUCUUGAUGGCCUGCUUCCCAUCCUCCAUCCUGGAAGACUGAUCUGAAACCCCAGGAGGAGGUCCUCUGAGCCCUGAGGCAGAGAUCUCUCACCUGGAAGAUGGGUCUAAUGACUGCGCCCCACACACACCAGAGAGGACUGCAGAUAGUGCGGGAUGAGAGGAAGAUCUCUGGCCCUGGAGACAGCAUCAUCAAGCGAAAACGUAUGAGGAAGAAAAUAGCAGAUGAGAAGAAUCAACCAAAUUCCGGAAGCUGGAAGGCAGAUGCAAGAAGGCCCUUGAAUGAUGCCAGCACCUUGAUAUUGGACUUUCCAGCCUCCAGAACCAUGAGCCAAUACAUUUCUGUUCCAUAAAAAUUACCCAGUUCCAGGUAUUCUGCUAUAGCAGCACAAAAUGGACUAAAACAAUGUUGGCACAAGACUCAGUGCUGGGCCUGGCAUGCAACAGGUCCUUGGAGUGGCGUGCUGUGUGGAUAAUGAAUAUUGGGGAAGGCAUCUCUCUCCAGCCCCUCUCAAGCUUUCUGUAGUCACUGGUCCACUCUGUAUUGCUAUGAAGAAGCUCAAGACCAGCCUGUAUCACUCGGGGUCCUGGCAGGAACCAGGUGCCACACUCAAACUGAGUAAUUGAAGAGGGUUUAAUAUGGGAGUUAUUUACAUAGGUGUGGGCUGGUGUAGCUGCCCAUAUGCCCUCAAAAUCACCUCUACAUGGCAAUAGCUACUUACUGCUAACAGAGUCUCUCUCUCAUUGCUGCAAAUAUUUUCUAGCCAUGCAAGAAACUCAGCCGGUCAUGUUGAACAAACUAAGAGUGCCAGGAAGUUAAUGUCCUGGAAGCAUUGCCAGAGGGGAGGGGGCAGUUAGAUUCCCCAGCUUCCUCGCUCCUCUGCUGGGUUAAGCCUGCAACAUAUUCAUCAUCUCCCAGAGUGCUGCCCAGGGAUAGAGCUCCAGGUGCUCAGUGUGGUGACCUGCUCAUGUCAGCUUCUUCCCCUUUCCUGUCUUGUUUCGCACCCACAUCCUUCCCAUGUUUCCUCUUCCCAAAUAAACUACUUGCAUUGAAAUCUUUGUCUCAGGCUCUGCUUCUGGGGAAACCUGAACCUAGCGAGGAGAGUUUAAGGAAAGCAACAACGGGUGGCGUGGGACUCUGGUAACAAAGGGAACCACUGCCUUUCAAGAAAACGGCAGGAGGCCAGGCACGGUAGCUCAUGCCUGUAACGCCAACACUUUGGGAGGCCAAGGUGGGUGGAUUAUUUGAGGUCAGGA
RNAcentral lists this long non-coding RNA (1583 nucleotides) under Homo sapiens (human). RNAcentral's name for it is "HSALNT0401224". Lineage: Eukaryota; Metazoa; Chordata; Mammalia; Primates; Hominidae. The record is from RNAcentral.